This 470-nucleotide ribosomal RNA is filed under the name uncultured bacterium. Its description in RNAcentral is "partial 16S ribosomal RNA". It matches the Rfam family "Bacterial small subunit ribosomal RNA", at positions 28 to 507 of the family's 1533-position model. The record is from RNAcentral.
GACGAACGCUGGCGGCGUGCUUAACACAUGCAAGUCGAACGGUGAACGAGGGAGCUUGCUCCCUCCGGAUCAGUGGCGCACGGGUGAGUAACACGUGAGCAAUCUGCCCCGAACUCUGGGAUAAGCGUUGGAAACGACGUCUAAUACCGGAUACGACGCGGGAGGGCAUCCUCUCCGCGUGGAAAGAACUUCGGUUCGGGAUGAGCUCGCGGCCUAUCAGCUUGUUGGUGAGGUAACGGCUCACCAAGGCGACGACGGGUAGCCGGCCUGAGAGGGUGACCGGCCACACUGGGACUGAGACACGGCCCAGACUCCUACGGGAGGCAGCAGUGGGGAAUAUUGUACAAUGGGCGCAAGCCUGAUGCAGCAACGCCGCGUGAGGGACGACGGCCUUCGGGUUGUAAACCUCUUUUAGCAGGGAAGAAGCGAAAGUGACGGUACCUGCAGAAAAAGCACCGGCUAACUACGUG